Molecule: long non-coding RNA, 752 nt
Organism: Oxyura jamaicensis (ruddy duck)
Lineage: Eukaryota; Metazoa; Chordata; Aves; Anseriformes; Anatidae
Exons: 3
Source: RefSeq, a predicted model, not a curated record
UUUUACAGGUCAGUACCAUUCCAGAUAGGAUGCAAGUUACUCCUGUCUCUGUAGAGUGGAAAGAAAAGACAGAGAAACAGUGAUACACUCUAGAAGCUUCUUUACAAUGAAAUUUAGCAGUUAAAAAACUGAGUAAAAUGCAUAAUUUAAGUUUCACUGCUGCUGGCUUCAGAAAAAAAAAAAAUAAAAAAAAUUGCUUUUUCGUUGGCAUCCUGCCUUGACUGAUGAGAUGUCAGCAGCACCUAAGAAGGAGAAAAUCCAUAUGCCAAAGACGACUGUGGGCUCAAUUUCCUACAGAGGAAGAGUGUUGGAUGAAGCAUAGAAACAGCUAAAGAAGUGUCCUUUCCUCUUAAGAAUGGUGUGAAACGGAGCCCUCAACUGGUCCUCAGUGAAAGCUGGAUUACUUGUGAAGAAUCUUAGAGACUACAUCCAGCCUCCUGCCCUGCUGGAGAUACUCAAACCCAGACCUCACCUCUCCCCAAGAUGAGAGGCCCAGCCACUAGGAUGCUGGCUACAGGAGACGGAGUGGGCUGUGAGGGGGCAGAGAGCAUCUGUCUCUCUGACUGAAGCUGUUUCACCAUGCGGAAAACCUUCAAAAUUCAAGAUCAAAGAGGGACCAAGAGGACAUGACUGCUUCAUCCAGCUGUUUGCAGUCACCUGACAGAAGGAAAUCUGUGUACCCUUCCUGCUCCAACAUGUAUCUACAAGCUUCUGUAUGCGUAAAGCACUAAAUAAAAUAGUAAUAAUAAAAA